GCGGAGGAAAAGAAAAUAACAAUGAUUCCCUUAGUAACGGCGAGUGAACAGGGAAAAGCUCACAGUUGGAACCUGUCUGACCUAGUCAGUCCGGAUUGUAAACUGAAAAAGUGUUUUCCAGACCAGCCGAGUAAAAAAGUUCCUUGGAAUAGGACAUCAUGGAGGGUGAGAAUCCCGUCUUUGGCUUGAGCAUGGUCUUUUGUGUUGCGCUUUAAAGAGUCAGGUUGUUUGGGAAUGCAGCCUAAAGUGGGAGGUAAAUCCCUCCUAAAGCUAAAUAUUGGCGGAAGACCGAUAGCAAACAAGUACCGUGAGGGAAAGAUGAAAAGAACUUUGAAAAGAGAGUUAAACAGUAUGUGAAAUUGCUAAAAGGGAAGCGUUUGGAGACAGACUGGUUGGUCUGAAAUCAGCCUGGACUUUGGUCUUGGUGUACUUUCGGACUAUGCCUGCCAACAGCAGUUUGGUUUGACUGAAAAAACUAGUAGUAAGGUGGCUCCUCCGGGAGUGUUAUAGACUAUUAGAAAAUCAGUUGGACUAGACUGAGGAAUGCAAUACGGCUUGCCUGAUGGCCAUGAAGGGUGGAUUCGGACCUUUGUCUGAUGAAGUUUUUUCAAGGGUUGUUAGAACUGUAUUUAGGUUGUUGGCUUAAUGU
This 649-nucleotide ribosomal RNA is filed under the name Thamnostylum piriforme. RNAcentral describes it as "eukaryotic LSU rRNA". It matches the Rfam family "Eukaryotic large subunit ribosomal RNA", at positions 50 to 637 of the family's 3401-position model. Lineage: Eukaryota; Fungi; Mucoromycota; Mucoromycetes; Mucorales; Lichtheimiaceae. The record is from RNAcentral.